GACGAACGCUGGCGGCGUGCUUAACACAUGCAAGUCGAACGGAAAGGCCCUGCUUGCCGGGUACUCGAGUGGCGAACGGGUGAGUAACACGUGGGUGAUCUGCCCUGCACUUCGGGAUAAGCCUGGGAAACUGGGUCUAAUACCGGAUAGGAGCCAUUUUUAGUGUGAUGGUUGGAAAGUUUUUUCGGUGUAGGAUGAGCUCGCGGCCUAUCAGCUUGUUGGUGGGGUAAUGGCCUACCAAGGCGGCGACGGGUAGCCGGCCUGAGAGGGUGGACGGCCACAUUGGGACUGGGAUACGGCCCAGACUCCUACGGGAGGCAGCAGUGGGGAAUAUUGCACAAUGGGCGCAAGCCUGAUGCAGCGACGCCGCGUGGGGGAUGACGGCCUUCGGGUUGUAAACGCCUUUCGCUAGGGACGAAGCUUUUUGUGACGGUACCUAGAUAAGAAGCACCGGCUAACUACGUG
RNAcentral lists this ribosomal RNA (465 nucleotides) under uncultured bacterium. RNAcentral's name for it is "partial 16S ribosomal RNA". It matches the Rfam family "Bacterial small subunit ribosomal RNA", at positions 28 to 507 of the family's 1533-position model. The record is from RNAcentral.